GCCGGGCAUGGUGGUGCACGCCUGUAAUCCCAGCUACUCAGGAGGCUGAGGCAGGAGAAUCGCUUGAACCCAGGAAGCAGAGGUUGCAGUGAGCAGAGAUAGCACCACUGCACUCCAGCCUGGGCAACAGAGUGAGACUCUGUCUCAA
This 148-nucleotide non-coding RNA is filed under the name Nomascus leucogenys (northern white-cheeked gibbon). Lineage: Eukaryota; Metazoa; Chordata; Mammalia; Primates; Hylobatidae. The record is from Rfam by way of RNAcentral.